UAAACUUUGUAACAGCUUUUGUUCCUUCAGAGACAGCAUGUUUAGCCAAUUCACCAGGCAACACAAGCCUCACAGCUGUUUGAAUCUCCCUUGAAGUUAUUGUAGGUUUCUUGUUGUAACGAGCCAAUCUUGAAGAUUCCUGUGCUAGCUUCUCGAAUAUAUCAUUUAUGAAACUAUUCAUUAUUCCCAUUGCCUUAGAGCUUAUACCAAUGUCUGGGUGAACCUGCUUCAACACCUUGAAUAUGUAGAUCUUGUAUGUUUCUACGCUCUUCUUGCUCUUCUUCUUCUUCUUGUCAACGGCGGCGCCACCUUCCUUUGGGAGCUUCUUCCCAGCCUUUGGUUUCUUCUCCGCCGGUGAUGAUUUCUCAGCAACGGUGGAUUUCUUUUCCUCCACGGGCUUCUUCUCCGCUGGCUUCUUCUCUGCCUUUGGUGCCAUUACGAAAUUAGAGAAUUUGAGGUUAAUGAAAUAAUAGGGUUUUGUUUCAGAUUUGGGAUUGGAAUAGCGAAAGAGCUGUGUGAUAGAUACUAGCUUGGAAGCGUUGAUAUAUAAGAGGCGUUUCGCGUUCUUAUUGGUUGAUGAGGUAUCCCUCGGAUCGAUGACGUGGAUCUUAUUUAUCCGUAAAAAUGGAAGGAGCGUAUAAUUGUACAAGAAAAAUAAGAGCAGAUCGCGUAAGAUACACGCAUAAGCAAAUCUCAAUUUCACUCUAAUUCUCUUUUCGGAUAAAUAUAAAAAUAAGUAAUUUAUUUAUUACCAAAAGAGUCACUUAUAUAUGUUUUUAGAGCUUACACUAGCAGGCUAUGUGAAUAUUCAUUGGGUGUCAACCUAUGUUAUUGAAUAUCCUAAAAUAAAAAAAAUAUUAAAAAUAAUUGUAAGUAAUUUAUAAAUUUAUGUGUUUAUUUUUUAUAAUGUUAAAUAUUAUUCAGGUAAUCAAAAAAUAAAAAACAUAAACUAAUUUUUAAACACUAGAAUUGACUAUUAAAACAACUUAUUUUAUUCAAAGAAACAUAAAAAACAAAUUUAUCAUUUCAACAAUAUGAUGGAAAAUUUAUUUGCUACAAAUUGAUCAAUCAACAUAAUAUUCAUAUGAAUUAACAAUAUAUCAUCAAUGUUUAGCAGGGAUGGCAACGAGAUCGGGCAGGCGUGGGUAGUGCAUUCUCGUUCCUACCCCACAAUAUUUGCAGCUACACAUGCGGGUAGCUUGUAUUUGUGUAUACCUAACAAAUUUUAAUUUUAAUUAUAUGUUUAUAUACACCGUAAUAAUUAAUAUCAAAAAAUAAUUAUUACAUAAAUAAUAUGAUAAAUUUAUCAACUUAGUCAAAUAAGUGUAAUUUAUUAUGAAAUAUAAUAAAGUAUAUGAUAUAUAAUCCUAAAAUAAUAAUAAUAAAAAACUAUAAUAUAUAUAUAAAAAAUUAAUUUAUAAAUUUGCGGGUACACACAGACGGUAUCAUAAAAUCUGCUCACACUUAUAAGCUAUUAUCGUGGGUACCCAUGAGUUGAUUUUUUUUUUUGCCAUCCUAAUGUUUAGCAGUGUAAGUUCGCAUUUUAACAAUAUAAGACCACCUUUUUAAUAACAUAACAUCAAUAUUUAUCAAUAUAAUUAUCACAUCAUACAUUAACAUCAUAGUAGGACUGUGUAUUAAUAAUGUAACAUUAGAGCUAUGAGUAAUAUAAUAUUUAUAUAUAUUGGAAGAAAUGGGAGGUUUGGGUACCCGUAGGUAAUGAUAUCUCAUUAACUAGACUCAGACUUGUUCAAUAACGAGUCUUAAAAUCUUGAGUCUCAAUUACUAGCGGGUCCAAAAACACAGACUCGCACCCAAUCACUAUGAGUAUUUCACACAUACUUGUUGGUAUGGGUACUCAUACUCAUUUUCAUCCAUAAUCAAAUAUCGUGAAUGUAAAUCAAAAUAGCCACUCAUAGUUGUCAUAAAAAUUUGGCCACAACAUUUCUCAAUAGUUAUGAUUAGUCAGAAAAAUACUAUAUUAUUAAUUUUUUAACUUAAAUAAAUUUUUUCAACGAAUCACGGACUUAUUAUGAUACAGCAGAUGUGGUCCCCAAAUAUCGUCAAUAUAAUGAAUGUUGACAAUGACCAAUUCUACUCAUAUUUGAUAUUUUUAUAAUCUUUUUGAGUUUUUCAAUUUAGAAUGAUGAAAUUAGUACAUGUAAAAAAUUUAAAAGGCUAACUAAAGUAUCUACUCAAUAAAAAAUUAAAAAAUCACCACAUCUUUGCACUCAUUUUUGAUAAUUUUUUAGAUAAUUUUAAAUUUUUCAAUUUUGUAUGAACAAAACUGAUAUAUACAAAAAAAAAAUUGAAAGAUAAAAAUGAGCAUUUAUUCUUUCCUAUCCCAACCAGUCACCAUAGCCACAUAUGGAGAUAUCUGUCCCAAACUGAAUUUCAAGCCAAUCAGAAUGCUCUAUUUUAUUAAUUUUUACUUUUAAUAUUUUAUUUUAUUCACGUGUUAAUAUAUGAUUGGUUUGAGAUACGAAACUUAGCCAUUAUCUCCUAAAAAUGCAUAAAACUCCUCUCGAGCUUCCAUUGAUAAUCAUUCAUUAUAUUCAAACCACAAAUAAAACAAACAAAUUAUUGGUCCAUCAAUCAUUUUGGUUGGUCAAAAAACAAUCACAAAUAACCACACAAAAAACAAAUCAACAUAAAAACAACAUACUACUUUCUAAAUCAUUUUGUGACUAACAGAAGUGAAAAUUCAAAGGAUUAACUUCGCGGUUAAGAUCAUAGAUUACGAAAUACGCCUUAUGAGUGCUUUGAACAAAUGAAAGUUCGUCAAAUAACUGGGCAAUUCUUCAAAAGUUUACACCUGAAUCAUGACUUAUUCAAAAGCAUUAAUAAUUAAAAAGUUAUGGACCGAACAAUUUCACUUUUAACAGGGAGAAAAACAAUGCCGAUCGGAAAAGUUAACUAAUAAGUAAAAUUAUUAUAAAGAAGUGACAACACUAAACUAAAAUGUUAAAAAGAAAAGUUUAAAAUAUCUUCAGUUCAUUUAAUUUGGCUAUUCUCUUUACCGCAUAGGAUCCAAUUUCACAAGUUCUAUACCAAACAAGUAAUUGAAAUCUGAACAAAGAACUAAUCUAAGAGCUUGUAAAUUUGGUGACAGCCUUAGUGCCUUCAGAGACAGCAUGUUUGGCCAAUUCACCAGGCAAUACGAGUCUAACAGCAGUUUGAAUCUCCCUUGAAGUUAUUGUAGGUUUCUUGUUGUAACGAGCCAAUCUAGAAGAUUCCUGAGCAAGCUUCUCGAAUAUAUCAUUUAUGAAACUAUUCAUUAUUCCCAUUGCCUUAGAGCUU
Molecule: long non-coding RNA, 3300 nt
Filed under: Lupinus angustifolius (narrow-leaved blue lupine)
Lineage: Eukaryota; Viridiplantae; Streptophyta; Magnoliopsida; Fabales; Fabaceae
Description: long non-coding RNA (LANG_LNC001179)
Source: RNAcentral